This 1068-nucleotide ribosomal RNA is filed under the name Chelisoches annulatus. RNAcentral's name for it is "SSU rRNA". It matches the Rfam family "Eukaryotic small subunit ribosomal RNA", at positions 721 to 1795 of the family's 1831-position model. The record is from RNAcentral. Lineage: Eukaryota; Metazoa; Arthropoda; Insecta; Dermaptera; Chelisochidae.
CUUUACUGAGUGUCGUGGCGGGCCGGCACGUUUACUUUGAACAAAUUAGAGUGCUAAAAGCAGGCCUCGUGCCUGAAUAUUGUGUGCAUGGAAUAAUAGAAUAGGAUCUCGGUUCUAUUUUGUUGGUUUUCUGAACCAGAGGUAAUGAUUAAGAGGAACGGACGGGGGCAUUCGUAUUGAGACGUUAGAGGUGAAAUUCUUGGAUCGUCUCAAGACGGACAGAAGCGAAAGCAUUUGCCAAGAACGUUUUCAUUAAUCAAGAACGAAAGUUAGAGGUUCGAAGGCGAUCAGAUACCGCCCUAGUUCUAACCAUAAACGAUGCCAGCCAGCGAUCCGCCAAAGUUCCUCCGAUGACUUGGCGGGCAGCUUCCGGGAAACCAAAGCUUUUGGGUUCCGGGGGAAGUAUGGUUGCAAAGCUGAAACUUAAAGGAAUUGACGGAAGGGCACCACCAGGAGUGGAGCCUGCGGCUUAAUUUGACUCAACACGGGAAAUCUCACCAGGUCCGGACACCGGAAGGAUUGACAGAUUGAGAGCUCUUUCUUGAUUCGGUGGGUGGUGGUGCAUGGCCGUUCUUAGUUGGUGGAACGAUUUGUCUGGUUAAUUCCGAUAACGAACGAGACUCUAACCUGCUAACUAGCCGUUCCCGGCAUCAUAUGCUGCCGGCGGCAUAAAUUUCUUCUUAGAGGGACAGGCGGCUUCUAGCCGCACGAGAUUGAGCAAUAACAGGUCUGUGAUGCCCUUAUAUGUCCUGGGCCGCACGCGCGCUACAAUGAAGGUAUCAACGUGUCUUCCCAGGCCGAACGGUCCGGGUAACCCGAUGAACCAUCUUCGUGCUAGGGAUUGGGGCUUGCAAUUGCUCCCCAUGAACGAGGAAUUCCCAGUAAGCGCGAGUCAUAAGCUCGCGUUGAUUACGUCCCUGCCCUUUGUACACACCGCCCGUCGCUACUACCGAUUGAAUGAUUUAGUGAGGUCUUCGGACUGAUGCGCGAUAGCAUUAUUCUUAAUGCUGCCGAUGUUAUUGGAAAGAUGACCAAACUUGAUCAUUUAGAGGAAGUAAAAGUCGUAAC